This is a small nucleolar RNA of Arvicanthis niloticus (Nile rat), 130 nucleotides long. RefSeq annotates it as small nucleolar RNA SNORA17. The record is from RefSeq and is a predicted model, not a curated record. Lineage: Eukaryota; Metazoa; Chordata; Mammalia; Rodentia; Muridae.
CCUGCACCUAGACAUUGCGGAUGUAACUGCUGUGUCACAUGUAUGUCAAUAGGUGGCAGAGAAGAGAGAGGCUAUGUCUGCUCUCAGUGUUUGGACCUACGGACAUCUGAAGGAUUAGCAGCCUAACACU